CCUGACAGCAGAUGAUGAUUCUCCCUUUUUUCUUUCUUUUCAUGAAAAUCUUUUGCUUUGACCUGUACAUUCAACAGUCAUUCAGUAACCCUCUCCCCUUAUGUUUCUGUGUUCCAGUAGCUAGUGAAAAGACAACAUCGUGGGAAGCAUUUUCUUUUUCUUUAUCGUACAGUUAACUGCUAAUAUUAUCCAACGUGCCACUUGAAAUCGUUCAAAAGGGAAAGGCACUCUUUGAUUUUCGCAUUGAUGAUCCCCGUGAAUUAUGGGCGUUUUGAAUAUUACCUUUACCCCGAGUGCCGCUAUUUUGGAAUUUAUAGAUCCAACCGCCUCACGAAACAUUGGCAACAUUCUGCAGUCAACAUAACAAAGAUGAAUCGAUUGACUUUGUCUUUAUUUUUGGAACGAGAAAAGAAACAUACCUCAACACGCUAAUCAUCAAUCGCAACAAGUCACGUUUGGCUUCAUCGUGCCGGUAGCGACUUCGGAUUCCGAAACGAAGAAAAUUGAAGACGGAAUUAGCGAAGUCGACGCUACUCGCCGCAGAAGUUUCCACGUUCGUAAGGCCUAAUUCCAAUUGAUAAGACAAACACAUAUGGUAGCGAGGAUUUUUAUGGAGUGGAACACUGAUGGAGAAUGGGAAGUCGGCGGAGAUUGAAGGCCGGAUGCACAAGACACAUACGCAAUAAAGUCUAAUGCGCGCAGACAUAAUCAAAACUUACAACUAGUAGUUUACGUUUUUAUGAAAAAAAAAAAAAAAAAUAGGCAUCCGCCUAUUUUAUUCUUUUCCUAGUCAGGGGGAAAAAAAAAUCUGCCGAGCAAACGUCAAUUCUACUAUGGAAAUACAUUAAUAAGUUUUAAACUCUCUCUCUCUCUCUCUCUCUCUAUACUUACACGUCAAU
This is a long non-coding RNA of Daphnia magna, 899 nucleotides long. RefSeq lists it as uncharacterized. NCBI's taxonomy places the organism in Eukaryota, Metazoa, Arthropoda, Branchiopoda, Diplostraca, Daphniidae. The transcript has 3 exons. The record is from RefSeq and is a predicted model, not a curated record.